GUGUACUUGAUGAACGCUUUCCACAGCUUUUUAAGAUCCGGCGAUGAUUUCUUCGGAAAUAUGUGCCUGGAUAACAUCAUGCAUCACCAUCUGAUACGUAUAC
This 103-nucleotide small nucleolar RNA is filed under the name Kluyveromyces lactis. Lineage: Eukaryota; Fungi; Ascomycota; Saccharomycetes; Saccharomycetales; Saccharomycetaceae. The record is from RNAcentral.